AUACGGAGGUGGCAAGCGUUGUUCGGAAUUACUGGGCUUAAAGAGCAUGUAGGCGGGAUGUCAAGUGUCGGGUGAAAACCCCAGGCUCAACCUGGGAACUGCCCGGCAAACUGGCAUUCUUGAGGCAGGUAGCGGUGACCGGAACAACUGGUGGAGCGGUGAAGUGCGUAGAUAUCAGUUGGAACGCCGGCGGCGAAAGCGGGUCACUGGACCUGUCCUGACGCUGAGAUGCGAAAGCGUGGGUAGCGAACGGGAUUAGAAACCCCGGUAGUCC
RNAcentral lists this ribosomal RNA (274 nucleotides) under uncultured bacterium. Its description in RNAcentral is "partial 16S ribosomal RNA". It matches the Rfam family "Bacterial small subunit ribosomal RNA", at positions 523 to 796 of the family's 1533-position model. The record is from RNAcentral.